AGUGAACGCUGGCGGUAGGCCUAACACAUGCAAGUCGAACGGCAGCACAGUAAACUCUUGCUCUUACGGGUGGCGAGUGGCGGACGGGUGAGGCAUACGUCGGAAUCUUCUUUUUCGUGGGGGAUAUCGUAGGGCAACUUACGCUAAUACCUCAUACGUCCUACGGGUGAAAGCAGGUGAUCUUCGGACCUUUCGCUCUUGAAUGAGCCGCUGUCGGAUUAGCUAGUUGGCGGGUUAAAGGCCCACCAAGGCGACGAUCCGUAGCUGGUCUGACAGGAUGAUCAGCAACACUGGAACUGAGACACGGUCCAGACUCCUACGGGAGGCAGCAGUGGGGAAUAUUGGACAAUGGGCGCAAGCCUGAUCCAGCCAUACCGCGUGGGUGAAGAAGGCCUUCGGGUUGUAAAGCCCUUUUGUUGGGAAAGAAAAGCAGCAGGUUAAUACCCCGCUGUUCUGACGGUACCCAAAGAAUAAGCACCGGCUAACUUCGUG
Molecule: ribosomal RNA, 492 nt
Filed under: uncultured bacterium
Lineage: Bacteria
Description: partial 16S ribosomal RNA
Rfam family: Bacterial small subunit ribosomal RNA
Source: RNAcentral